GUGAGGAAUUUUCCGCAAUGGGCGAAAGCCUGACGGAGCAAUGCUGCGUGAAGGAUGAAGGCCUAUGGGUUGUAAACUUCUUUUCUCAGAAAAGAAUUAUGACGGUAUCUGAGGAAUAAGCAUCGGCUAACUCUGUGCCAGCAGCCGCGGUAAGACAGAGGAUGCAAGCGUUAUCCGGAAUGAUUGGGCGUAAAGCGUCUGUAGGUUGUUUAAAAAGUAUUCUGUCAAAGAUUAGGGCUUAACCCUAGAUAGGCAGAAUAAACUUUUAAGCUAGAGUUUGGUAGAGGCAGAGGGAAUUCCCGGUGGAGCGGUGAAAUGCGUAGAUAUCGGGAGGAACACCAAAGGCGAAGGCACUCUGCUGGGCCAAUACUAACACUGAGAGACGAAAGCGAGGGGAGCAAAUGGGAUUAGAUACCCGAGUAGUCC
This 426-nucleotide ribosomal RNA is filed under the name uncultured bacterium. Its description in RNAcentral is "partial 16S ribosomal RNA". It matches the Rfam family "Bacterial small subunit ribosomal RNA", at positions 354 to 796 of the family's 1533-position model. The record is from RNAcentral.